RNAcentral lists this ribosomal RNA (301 nucleotides) under uncultured bacterium. RNAcentral describes it as "partial 16S ribosomal RNA". It matches the Rfam family "Bacterial small subunit ribosomal RNA", at positions 509 to 807 of the family's 1533-position model. The record is from RNAcentral.
CAGCAGCCGCGGUAAAACGAAGGGGGCUAGCGUUGUUCGGAAUUACUGGGCGUAAAGCGCACGUAGGCGGAUAUUUAAGUCAGGGGUGAAAUCCCGCAGCUCAACCCCGGAACUGCCUUUGAUACUGGGUAUCUCGAGUCCGGAAGAGGUGAGUGGAAUUCCGAGUGUAGAGGUGAAAUUCGUAGAUAUUCGGAAGAACACCAGUGGCGAAGGCGGCUUACUGGCUCAUACUGGACGCUGAGGUGCGAAAGCGUGGGGAGCAAACAGGAUUAGAUACCCGAGUAGUCCCUGUCUCUUAUAC